Molecule: ribosomal RNA, 481 nt
Filed under: uncultured bacterium
Lineage: Bacteria
Description: partial 16S ribosomal RNA
Rfam family: Bacterial small subunit ribosomal RNA
Source: RNAcentral
GAUGAACGCUGGCGGCGUGCUUAACACAUGCAAGUCGAACGAAGCACUUUAUUUGAUUUCCUUCGGGACUGAUUAUUUUGUGACUGAGUGGCGGACGGGUGAGUAACGCGUGGGUAACCUGCCUUGUACAGGGGGAUAACAGUUGGAAACGGCUGCUAAUACCGCAUAAGCGCACAGCAUCGCAUGAUGCAGUGUGAAAAACUCCGGUGGUAUAAGAUGGACCCGCGUUGGAUUAGCUAGUUGGUGCGGUAACGGCCCACCAAGGCGACGAUCCAUAGCCGACCUGAGAGGGUGACCGGACACAUUGGGACUGAGACACGGCCCAAACUCCUACGGGAGGCAGCAGUGGGGAAUAUUGCACAAUGGGCGAAAGCCUGAUGCAGCGACGCCGCGUGAGCGAAGAAGUAUUUCGGUAUGUAAAGCUCUAUAAGCAGGGAAGAUAAUGACGGUACCUGACUAAGAAGCACCGGCUAAAUACGUG